AUUGAACGCUGGCGGCAGGCCUAACACAUGCAAGUCGAACGAGUGGCGGACGGGUGAGUAAUGUCUGGGAAACUGCCUGAUGGAGGGGGAUAACUACUGGAAACGGUAGCUAAUACCGCAUACCAUCGGAUGUGCCCAGAUGGGAUUAGCUAGUAGGUGGGGUAAAGGCUCACCUAGGCGACGCUCCCUAGCUGGUCUGAGAGGAUGACCAGCAAUACUGGGACUGCGACACGGUCCAGACGCCUAAGGGAGGCAGCAGUGGGGAAUAUUGCACAAUGGGCGCAAGCCUGAUGCAGCCAUGCCGCGUGUAUGAAGAAGGCCUUCGGGUUGUAAAGUACUUUCAGCGGGGAGGCGUUACCCGCAGAAGAAGCACCGGCUAACUCCGUGCCAGCAGCCGCGGUAAUUG
RNAcentral lists this ribosomal RNA (406 nucleotides) under uncultured bacterium. RNAcentral's name for it is "partial 16S ribosomal RNA". It matches the Rfam family "Bacterial small subunit ribosomal RNA", at positions 30 to 527 of the family's 1533-position model. The record is from RNAcentral.